Daphnia pulicaria is the source of this 147-nucleotide long non-coding RNA. RefSeq lists it as uncharacterized. The record is from RefSeq and is a predicted model, not a curated record. The transcript is spliced from 2 exons. Lineage: Eukaryota; Metazoa; Arthropoda; Branchiopoda; Diplostraca; Daphniidae.
CUUGGAAAAGCCUUUGAGGGCUACGUCAUCCCGAUCGUAGUAAGAACUCUACAGGAAAAAACAACUUGCUACAAUUCAACUUCACAAAGAUUGAGUGCAAACUCGAUGGCAGCCAAAGGGGAGGCCCAUUCCUGCUCGGCGGGAGAA